This is a long non-coding RNA of Myodes glareolus (Bank vole), 411 nucleotides long. RefSeq lists it as uncharacterized. Lineage: Eukaryota; Metazoa; Chordata; Mammalia; Rodentia; Cricetidae. The record is from RefSeq and is a predicted model, not a curated record.
AAGAAAGAAAGAAAGAAAGAAAGAAAGAAAGAAAGAAGAUGAAUGAACAAGAACAGGUUCAUCUUCUCUUGCUUCAUGUUUUGGACUCUGCAGACUUAGAGUGUCAUUACUAUUAAGAUCUGAAAAGCUUCCCCUCCUCCCCACAAGCUCACCUAUAGAAGACUUGGUGCUCACACCUCAGCAGUUUUUAGAAGUGAUUGGACCAUGAGACUCUAAUCUUGUUGAUGACUUAAUCCAUUGAUAGGUUCAUCACUGUUGGAAGUUACCAUGAAAUGAACGGUCUGGCUCCACAACCUGCUUCCCACUACAAUAUUCUGCCUCUCUGUGAGCUCAGAAGCAGCAAAGUUAAUGACCAUGGACAGAGAUAUCAGAAGCCAUGAACCCAAAUAAAGCUUGUCCCCUAAAAGCUGA